AUUGAACGCUGGCGGCAUGCCUUACACAUGCAAGUCGAACGGCAGCACGGGAGCAAUCCUGGUGGCGAGUGGCGAACGGGUGAGUAAUAUAUCGGAACGUGCCCAGUCGUGGGGGAUAACGUAGCGAAAGCUACGCUAAUACCGCAUACGAUCUAUGAAUGAAAGCGGGGGAUCGCAAGACCUCGCGCGAUUGGAGCGGCCGAUAUCAGAUUAGGUAGUUGGUGGGGUAAAGGCCCACCAAGCCGACGAUCUGUAGCUGGUCUGAGAGGACGACCAGCAACACUGGGACUGAGACACGGCCCAGACUCCUACGGGAGGCAGCAGUGGGGAAUUGUGGACAAUGGGCGCAAGCCUGAUCCAGCAAUGCCGCGUGCAGGAUGAAGGCCUUCGGGUUGUAAACUGCUUUUGUACGGAGCGAAAAGGCUUCCACUAAUACUGGGGGCUCAUGACGGUACCGUAAGAAUAAGCACCGGCUAACUACGUGCCAGCCGCCGCAGUAA
RNAcentral lists this ribosomal RNA (500 nucleotides) under uncultured bacterium. Its description in RNAcentral is "partial 16S ribosomal RNA". It matches the Rfam family "Bacterial small subunit ribosomal RNA", at positions 30 to 523 of the family's 1533-position model. The record is from RNAcentral.